AACCUGCUGGGUCCUGUUCCAGCCCGGGAGUUCUUGUUGUUUUGCUCUUCGCGAUAAAUGUUGCUGCUGUUCACUCUUUAGGUCCGCGCUGCGUUUAUGAGCUGUAACACGCACCACCGAGAAGGUCUGCAGCUUCACUGCAGAAGCCAGUGAGACCACAAACCUACCGAAAGUAAGAAACUCUGGACACAUGUGAACAUCUGAGGGAACAAACUCCGGACACACCAUCUUUCAGAACUGUAACACUCACCGCGAGCGUCGGCGGCUUGGUUCUUGAAGUCAGCGAGACCAAGAACCCACCAAUUCCGAACACUCUCCCUCUGAUGAAGUACCUCAAAAGCUAAGCUCCCAUCAAUCCUGGAGAGAUAGAAUCAGCAGAGCAUAGUGGCAGAAUGAAUGGUUUAAAAGGAACAGCAGCGACCAAAGAACUUUUUAUGCAGAGAAACCCCAAAUCUGGGGCAAAGCCCUCCUGUUCAUUUUAUCUCACACAAGGGCAUUGUUGAUCCAGAUGAAUGUAUUCACUUUGAAACGAGACCAUAGUCGCCGCUAGAGACAAAACUACAUACACUGACCCAGAUACGGUUCUUCCCCAGACCAAGUGACCCCAGCUGCAGCCGGAGUGCUCACAGUAAACUGAAAUUACAUGAAUGACACCCAGGGAAAGACGCUUGUAUUAUAAAGAGGCUACAUUUCUAUUUGGUUUACUGAUGUAUUAAUUUUUCAAAGUUUGGAAUCUCUUCAAAUACAAGGUAAAUGCAUUUUCUAAGAAUUUGGCCCAGUGGCACUCGUCUGGAUGUGAUAACCUGUUUUUCCUGUAUCAUGAUUUAACUUAAACUACUCUUGUAAGUGACUGAUUCUGUAUCUUCAAGUUACAUUCAUACAUCCUGUGACUGGAUAUUGACGAAUUCAGUAGGUGCCACAGGCAUAUCUUGCUUGUCUGAAAGGAAAGUUAAUUUUAUACUAAGAUGCCACCAUUAAAAUAGAUAAUGAAAGCAUUGUUAGGAUUUACCAGAUUAGCUAAAGCAACAAAACAUCAGAUUGUAACUAGAUGACCUCGGGGAAAAACACAGGAUGUAUAUUUCCACAAAACAUCCCGCAUCAUUUGACAUAUUCAAAGUAAAGGUAAGCCAUGUAUUUUGGCCUUUAUGUUGUUCACAGAAGAGUUCUUUGCACACUGGAUAUACAUUGGAAUUCAUCUUCCUUUUCUUCUUAGUAUGUUAGAAUAUCUAUGUCUUCAAAAGGGUCAGCCUCAAAUGAGUGAGCCAAAGGCACUUACAUGCAGACCAGUACUUAUUAGAAAGAACUGAGAAAUGAAACAUAAACUGAUAAGUGAGUGCAAGUCAUUCAUCUUUUUAAAGCCCAUAAAAAGAGAAUUGUAAAUUAAAAUGUCUACAAUAGGUUCAACACCUCUCUCUCAGCCCCUCCCUUUCCUUUGUCAUGCUACAGCAUUCAAGUGUGGGAAUGUUUCUCUGAAACGUGUAAAUCACACAUUUAGUCAUGCCAUACCCAGGAGCACCGUACCGGGAGGAACGGGGAGGAAGGCCAAGGAAAUUAAAUAUGAGUCCAGCAGUUUGUUAAUGAAACAUUUACACAAGCAGUUUAUAUGGUUGUAAUAAAAAAGGGGGGCCUCUUUCAUCGCACCUUUUCAUUACUUAGCACAGUCUUUAAGAGGAUUAAUGUGGAAGGGGGGAAAAGAAUGUGCUUAUCAGUUGAGUCUCAGGAUUGGUAAUGCUGAGUUCUUAAUAGAUUGCCUCUGGAUUUAGGAUUACUGUGGUGCAAAUUCUUCCAGGCUUUCAAUAGAAUAGAAAGCAGUUUGUUUUCCCCCCUUCAACGAGAAGGGCUAUUGACUUGGUGAUGAAAUGACCUAGGACUCAGAGUUUAUUCAAACCACUGCCUCCUGUUUCUGUCACUUCAGGGAGAUUUAUUUAUUUGUUUGGGCUACUGGUAGCCAAUGCAUCAAAAUAUGCACUAAUUCCACCACUACUGUGAUUAAGAAGCAGCUAACAAUGCAAGUUUAACAGCAACCAGCUGACUUUUAUGAUGCUUGUAUUAAGGAUCUAGUUUUCAAAAGGAAACAGCAGAGAAGACAAAUCUAUUUUUUGGACACUGUCAAUUCCCUGCACCUCAUUUUCUGACAGGUUUCCUAACAGCUCAGAUAAACUACAUAUUUUGGAGGACAACUGAAGUGAAUAAGUGGCCCUUUUAGUUUUCUGGGGAGUUAGAGGCAGCUUUUGUUGGCAAUCUUGUGAAAGAGUACAGUACUGAUGGAUCAUGCUGCUUGAGGUCCCGUGACUUCACACUAUUUUUAGCACAAGGAAGAUGUUAGUUGUAACAGUGUACAAUGGGCUAAUCAGCCAUAAUAGAACUCACACUGUUUUUCACUUCACAUUGCACUUAUUAUGUGCCUUGAAUGUAAACAGCUCUUUGCUUCUGACAAAGAUGGCAGUUUGCCAUGGUGGGAUUCAGCCUUCUCUAAAGCUCAGCAAACAUUGAAUAGAGCAAGCCAGAAGACUGAAAAAGCAAUUGUUUGAAUUUAUGUCACUUGCAACCUUAGACAAAAUUAUUUUUGUUACUUCCAUCCUUUCCUUCCUACCUCCCUCAAAUUAGCAAGCAUUCACAUAUGUCAGUUAUCAGCAUAUGAAAAAUUAUUUCCAUUAUUUCUCCACCCACAUUUAGAGAAUCAAUAAAUCAUGUUUUAUAUAAAGUCUUGAAUAAUGACAUCCCUGUGCAUUUUAUACCCAUUGUGAAAUAUUUGGAACUUAACAUAAUAAUAUGAAGCUUGAUCAUAUAAAUAGAUUGAAGUUGCUUUAAAGCAUGAUAAAAGAUACUCUUUAAAAUUACACCCAACACCCAAAAGAAGUUUAUUGUUUUGCACCAUCUGUAUGUACCAUUAGCAGAUUCAAUAGUUUGCUCUCAAAACAGAUUUAGAGCAAUUUACUAUAAAGCAAAUUGUUGUUGGCUAGGCUUCCUGCAUUGUUAUCCUAUGAUUUUUCCAGGCACAGGGGCAUAUUCAAAAGUUUUUUGAAAUUUUAUCACAGUAAUACAUGCACAUGAUAAAAACCAUCAAGUAGUAUAAGAAAGUACUUUAUAAAGAAAAGUACCCUCCUCCACACUCAGGCCUAUUACUAGCAGCAAAGACCUUUUUAUUUUUUAGUUCUUCUUCUGGAGAUUACUUCCUAACCCUAAAUAAAAGGCUUAUAAUAGUAUUUCUAAAGAAUUUUUUUAAAUUAUUAUUAUUUUUUUUAGAGUUGGGGUCUUGCUCACUGCAGCCUCGAACUCCAGGGCUCAAGUGAUUCUCCUGUCUCAGCCCCUCAGCCUCCUGAGUAGCUAUGACUAUAGGCAUGUGCCACUGUGCCCAGCUAAUUUUUAUUUUUACUUUUGUAGAGUCAGGAUCUUGCAUUGUUGCCUAGGCUGGCCUUAAACCCCUAGCUUCAAACAAUACUCUCACCUUGACCUCGCGAAGUGCUGAUAUUACAGGUGUGAGCCACUGCACCUGGCCUUAUAAUAGUAUUUAUUGAUUGAUUCAUUCAUUGAUUCAGCAGAUAUUCACUGAGUGACUACUGUUUGCCACAUACUGUUCUAAAACUGAGAUACAACAGUGAACGAAACAGACAAAAGUCCCUGCCCCCUUGAAGCUGAACAUUCCACUGGAGUGGAAAUGAGGAGAGGCAGAUAAUAAAUAUCAAUGAAUAAUUUAUAUCACAUAUCAAAAAGUGAAAAGGGGUAUAGAAUAAAAGAAAUGAGAAAGGUGGGCAAGAGGGGUACUGAAGGUGGAAGGUGGUGUGAAGUUCGAAACACAGAGGUUAGGGAUGGCCUAACUAAGAGUGUGAUAUUUCAGCAAAGACAUGAAAGAAGUAAUAGAGUAACCCAUGAAAACAUCUCAAAGGAGAGAGGCCAGAGUGGAAGGAACAGCCAGUGCAAAGGCCCUGAGGCAGGAGCAUGGCUGGUUGGCUUAAGGAACAGUGAGGAGGUCAACUUGGCUGAUGUGGAAUGAGCAAAGGAAAGUGCAGUAGGAGAUGGGGCUUGUGAAAUGAUGGGAGGAGGAGGUCCAUGGGAGUGUAGGAAGGAUUUGAACAGAGAAUUAAUUCAGUCCUGUUUAAGUUUUUACUUUCUUGAGGAAAGGAUGUGUGAAUGGAAGAAGGAAGUUAUUUUGGAGUCUCUGCGGUGAUCCAAGUGAGACAAGGAAACUCCCAACAGGUUGAUGCCUCAGAGGAGUUAAGAAGUAGUCAGAUUCUGGGUAUACAGUGAGGCUUACUUGCUUUUCUGAUAGAUUGCAUUUAUAGAAUAUGAGAGAAAGAAGAUUUGGCUUCAGCUACUGUAAGAAUGGAGUGGCCCUUAAUGGAGAUAAGAUAGACUGCUGGUUGAAUGGGAUUUGGAAGGAAGAUUUAGUUAUGGAUAUGUUGAGUUUGAGAUGCCUUUAGACAUCAAAGUGGUGAUAACAGAUAGAUAAGUGGAUAUGAGAGGCUGGAGUUCUGGGGAGAGGUACAGACCUCGUAUUUACAUUUUUGGUCGUUAGCAUAUACAUGGUAUUUAAGGUCACAUGCCUAGGUAAGCCCACUAGGGAAUGAAGCUAAAAGAAGUCCAAGGACUUAUCCUUGGGACAUUCUCACAUUAAAAGAUUGGAUAAGAAACUUGCAAAAGGAACUGAAAAGAAGUGAGGUCAGAAGCUACUGGAAGAAAGAGAGUUACAAAAGUAGGCUAACAAAUGCAUGUCAAGUUUACAUGACCCACAGUGAUAUUCUCAGGUUAGAGAAAGAGUUAUGAAGACAAUGGUGAUCCUGCAGCAAAGUAGAAGAGAGCACUUAAAUUAUAGAAUGAUGAAACAUUAGAAGCAUUUCCUUUAGAAUUUAGAGUAAUUUAGAAGUGUCUAGAAUAAAGGAAAAUAUGUAUUAAAUAGCAGUGCUAUAUACUAGUAAUAAUCACUUUUUUAGUAGUAUGAAACUUGGUGUCAACAGAAACUUUAUAUACCAAUGAAUAGCUUUAACAAAAAACGUGAUAGACAUGUAUGAAUACUUACAGUAUAUUCUGAGAGGUGUAAAAAUGUAAAAGAUUUCAUGCAGAUACAUAAUUGUUGAUGUACAGGUGGACUGAGUAUUGCAAAAGUGUUAAUUUUUUUCUUGAAUAUAUGAGUUUAUCGUAGUUCAAAACAGAGUUCUGAUGGGCAAAUUUUUGGUACAGUAAUGAUCAUAGCAGCACUAUUUUUAAUAGCCAACAACUAGAAACAAUCAAAUGUCCAUAAAUGAGUAAAUAAACUGUAUAUUCAUUCAAUGAAAUAAUAUACAGCAAGAGGAUGAUUGAACUACAACUACAGCAUCAACAUAGGUGAAUCUCGCAAACAUAAUAAUGAACAAAGAAGGCAGACACUAAAGAGUAUAUACUUUGUGAUUCCACUCGUAUAAAGUUCCAAAACAGAUCCAAAUGAUCUAUGAUGCCUGGAAGGGAUGCAAGGGAGACUUUUGUUCUGGUAAUGCUUCUUUUCUUUUUUCUUUUGAGAGGGAAUCUGGCUCUGUUGCCCAGGCUGGAGUGCGGUAGUGCAAUCUCGGCUC
Molecule: long non-coding RNA, 5546 nt
Filed under: Homo sapiens (human)
Lineage: Eukaryota; Metazoa; Chordata; Mammalia; Primates; Hominidae
Description: HSALNT0329240
Source: RNAcentral